Molecule: ribosomal RNA, 1462 nt
Filed under: uncultured organism
Description: 16S ribosomal RNA
Rfam family: Bacterial small subunit ribosomal RNA
Source: RNAcentral
GCUCAGGACGAACGCUGGCGGCGUGCCUAAUACAUGCAAGUAGAACGCUGAAGAGAGGAGCUUGCUCUUCUUGGAUGAGUUGCGAACGGGUGAGUAACGCGUAGGUAACCUGCCUUGUAGCGGGGGAUAACUAUUGGAAACGAUAGCUAAUACCGCAUAACAAUGGAUGACACAUGUCAUUUAUUUGAAAGGGGCAAUUGCUCCACUACAAGAUGGACCUGCGUUGUAUUAGCUAGUAGGUGAGGUAACGGCUCACCUAGGCGACGAUACAUAGCCGACCUGAGAGGGUGAUCGGCCACACUGGGACUGAGACACGGCCCAGACUCCUACGGGAGGCAGCAGUAGGGAAUCUUCGGCAAUGGGGGCAACCCUGACCGAGCAACACCGCGUGAGUGAAGAAGGUUUUCGGAUCGUAAAGCUCUGUUGUAAGUCAAGAACGAGUGUGAGAGUGGAAAGUUCACACUGUGACGGUAGCUUACCAGAAAGGGACGGCUAACUACGUGCCAGCAGCCGCGGUAGUACGUAGGUCCCGAGCGUUGUCCAGAUUUAUUGGGCGUAAAGCGAGCGCAGGCGGUUUGAUAAGUCUGAAGUUAAAGGCUGUGGCUCAACCAUAGUUCGCUUUGGAAACUGUCAAACUUGAGUGCAGAAGGGGAGAGUGGAAUUCCAUGUGUAGCGGUGAAAUGCGUAGAUAUAUGGAGGAACACCGGUGGCGAAAGCGGCUCUCUGGUCUGUAACUGACGCUGAGGCUCGAAAGCGUGGGGAGCGAACAGGAUUAGAUACCCUGGUAGUCCACGCCGUAAACGAUGAGUGCUAGGUGUUGGAUCCUUUCCGGGAUUCAGUGCCGCAGCUAACGCAUUAAGCACUCCGCCUGGGGAGUACGACCGCAAGGUUGAAACUCAAAGGAAUUGACGGGGGCCCGCACAAGCGGUGGAGCAUGUGGUUUAAUUCGAAGCAACGCGAAGAACCUUACCAGGUCUUGACAUCCCGAUGCUAUUUCUAGAGAUAGAAAGUUACUUCGGUACAUCGGUGACAGGUGGUGCAUGGUUGUCGUCAGCUCGUGUCGUGAGAUGUUGGGUUAAGUCCCGCAACGAGCGCAACCCCUAUUGUUAGUUGCCAUCAUUCAGUUGGGCACUCUAGCGAGACUGCCGGUAAUAAACCGGAGGAAGGUGGGGAUGACGUCAAAUCAUCAUGCCCCUUAUGACCUGGGCUACACACGUGCUACAAUGGUUGGUACAACGAGUUGCGAGUCGGUGACGGCAAGCUAAUCUCUUAAGGCCAAUCUCAGUUCGGAUUGUAGGCUGCAACUCGCCUACAUGAAGUCGGAAUCGCUAGUAAUCGCGGAUCAGCACGCCGCGGUGAAUACGUUCCCGGGCCUUGUACACACCGCCCGUCACACCACGAGAGUUUGUAACACCCGAAGUCGGUGAGGUAACCUUUUGGAGCCAGCCGCCUAAGGUGGGAU